This is a long non-coding RNA of Episyrphus balteatus (marmalade hoverfly), 306 nucleotides long. RefSeq lists it as uncharacterized. The record is from RefSeq and is a predicted model, not a curated record. NCBI's taxonomy places the organism in Eukaryota, Metazoa, Arthropoda, Insecta, Diptera, Syrphidae. The transcript has 4 exons.
UACUUUCAGGGGCACUGCUUUCAAUGCAAAUGUACAGAAAAAAUCUCACAUGAAAAAUCUUACUUAAAUGACUUUAACGGGCACUGCUUUCAAUGCAAAUGUACAGAAAAAAUCUCACAUGAAAAAUCUUACUUAAAUGACUUUAACGGGCACUGCUUUCAAUGCAAAUGUACAGAAAAAAUCUCACAUGAAAAAUCUUACUUAAAUGACUUUAACGGGCACUGCUUUCAAUGCAAAUGUACAGAAAAAAUCUCACAUGAAAAAUCUUACUUAAAUGACUUUAACGUAAGUACGAACCAAAUACAU